AGAGUUUGAUCCUGGCUCAGGAUGAACGCUGGCGGCGUGCUUAACACAUGCAAGUCGAACGAAGCACCUUGAUUUGAUUCUUCGGAUGAAGAUCUUGGUGACUGAGUGGCGGACGGGUGAGUAACGCGUGGGUAACCUGCCUCAUACAGGGGGAUAACAGUUAGAAAUGACUGCUAAUACCGCAUAAGACCACAGCACCGCAUGGUGCAGGGGUAAAAACUCCGGUGGUAUGAGAUGGACCCGCGUCUGAUUAGGUAGUUGGUGGGGUAACGGCCUACCAAGCCGACGAUCAGUAGCCGACCUGAGAGGGUGACCGGCCACAUUGGGACUGAGACACGGCCCAAACUCCUAUGGGAGGCAGCAGUGGGGAAUAUUGCACAAUGGGGGAAACCCUGAUGCAGCGACGCCGCGUGAGCGAUGAAGUAUUUCGGUAUGUAAAGCUCUAUCAGCAGGGAAGAAAAUGACGGUACCUGACUAAGAAGCACCGGCUAAAUACGUGCCAGCAGCCGCGGUAAUACGUAUGGUGCAAGCGUUAUCCGGAUUUACUGGGUGUAAAGGGAGCGUAGACGGAGUGGCAAGUCUGAUGUGAAAACCCGGGGCUCAACCCCGGGACUGCAUUGGAAACUGUCAAUCUAGAGUACCGGAGAGGUAAGCGGAAUUCCUAGUGUAGCGGUGAAAUGCGUAGAUAUUAGGAGGAACACCAGUGGCGAAGGCGGCUUACUGGACGGUAACUGACGUUGAGGCUCGAAAGCGUGGGGAGCAAACAGGAUUAGAUACCCUGGUAGUCCACGCUGUAAACGAUGAUUACUAGGUGUCGGGGAACCUGGGUUCUUCGGUGCCGCCGCAAACCCAAUAA
Molecule: ribosomal RNA, 856 nt
Filed under: uncultured bacterium
Lineage: Bacteria
Description: bacterial SSU rRNA
Rfam family: Bacterial small subunit ribosomal RNA
Source: RNAcentral